GCACCCGCGGUAAUUCCAGCUCCAAUAGCGUAUAUUAAAGUUGUUGCAGUUAAAAAGCUCGUAGUUGGAUUUCUGGGAGGGUGCCGAUGUCCACUUAACGUGUGCGCAGCGGCGCCCUCUCAUCCUUCUGUUAGCGUCUCUUGGCAUUCAUUUGCUGGUGGCGGGCUCAGAUAUUUUACCUUGAGAAAAUUAGAGUGUUUCAGGCAGGCUAGGCCGGAAUACAUUAGCAUGGAAUAAUGGAAUAGGACUACGGUCUCUUUGUUGGUUUGAGGGACUGCAGUAAUGAUUAAUAGGGAUAGUUGGGGGCAUUAGUACUUAACUGUCAGAGGUGGAAUUCUCAGAUUUGUUAAAGACUGACUUAUGCGAAAGCAUUUGCCAAGGAUGUUUUCAUCGAUCAAGAACGAAAGU
RNAcentral lists this ribosomal RNA (408 nucleotides) under uncultured eukaryote. RNAcentral describes it as "SSU rRNA". It matches the Rfam family "Eukaryotic small subunit ribosomal RNA", at positions 570 to 990 of the family's 1831-position model. The record is from RNAcentral.